This 468-nucleotide ribosomal RNA is filed under the name uncultured bacterium. Its description in RNAcentral is "partial 16S ribosomal RNA". It matches the Rfam family "Bacterial small subunit ribosomal RNA", at positions 28 to 507 of the family's 1533-position model. The record is from RNAcentral.
GACGAACGCUGGCGGCGUGCUUAACACAUGCAAGUCGAACGGAAAGGCCCUGCUUUUGUGGGGUGCUCGAGUGGCGAACGGGUGAGUAACACGUGAGUAACCUGCCCUUGACUUUGGGAUAACUUCAGGAAACUGGGGCUAAUACCGGAUAGGAGCUCCUGCUGCAUGGUGGGGGUUGGAAAGUUUCUGCGGUUGGGGAUGGACUCGCGGCUUAUCAGCUUGUUGGUGGGGUAGUGGCUUACCAAGGCUUUGACGGGUAGCCGGCCUGAGAGGGUAACCGGCCACAUUGGGACUGAGAUACGGCCCAGACUCCUACGGGAGGCAGCAGUGGGGAAUAUUGCACAAUGGGCGGAAGCCUGAUGCAGCAACGCCGCGUGCGGGAUGACGGCCUUCGGGUUGUAAACCGCUUUCGCCUGUGACGAAGCGUGAGUGACGGUAAUGGGUAAAGAAGCACCGGCUAACUACGUG